RNAcentral lists this ribosomal RNA (838 nucleotides) under uncultured Sphingobacteriales bacterium. RNAcentral describes it as "bacterial SSU rRNA". It matches the Rfam family "Bacterial small subunit ribosomal RNA", at positions 56 to 890 of the family's 1533-position model. The record is from RNAcentral. Lineage: Bacteria; Pseudomonadati; Bacteroidota; Sphingobacteriia; Sphingobacteriales.
UGCAGUCGAGGGGCAGCGGGGUAGCAAUACUGCCGGCGACCGGCAAACGGGUGCGGAACACGUACGCAACCUUCCCAAAACAGGUGAAUAGCCCUGCGAAAGUAGGAUUAAUACACCGUAAGAUAGCUUGAUGGCAUCAUCUAGCUAUUAUAGACAGCGAUGUCGGUUUUGGAUGGGCGUGCGCCUGAUUAGGUAGUUGGUGUGGGUAACGGCCCACCAAGCCUUCGAUCAGUAACUGGUGUGAGAGCACGACCAGUCACACGGGCACUGAGACACGGGCCCGACUCCUACGGGAGGCAGCAGUAAGGAAUAUUGGUCAAUGGACGAGAGUCUGAACCAGCCAUGCCGCGUGAAGGAUGAAGGCCCUCUGGGUUGUAAACUUCUUUUAUCUGGGACGAAAAAAGGGGAUUCUUCCUCACUUGACGGUACCAGAGGAAUAAGCACCGGCUAACUCCGUGCCAGCAGCCGCGGUAAUACGGAGGGUGCAAGCGUUAUCCGGAUUUACUGGGUUUAAAGGGUGCGUAGGUGGGUAGGUAAGUCAGUGGUGAAAUCUUCAAGCUUAACUUGGAAACUGCCAUUGAUACUAUUUAUCUUGAAUACUUUGGAGGUAAGCGGAAUAUGUCAUGUAGCGGUGAAAUGCUUAGAUAUGACAUAGAACACCAAUUGCGAAGGCAGCUUACUACACAGUUAUUGACACUGAGGCACGAAAGCGUGGGGAUCAAACAGGAUUAGAUACCCUGGUAGUCCACGCCCUAAACGAUGGAUACUCGACAUUAGCGAUACACAGUUAGUGUCUGAGCGAAAGCAUUAAGUAUCCCACCUGGGAAGUACGAUCGCA